CCAGACUCCUACGGGAGGCAGCAGUGGGGGAUAUUGCACAAUGGGGGAAACCCUGAUGCAGCGACGCCGCGUGAGUGAAGAAGUAUUUCGGUAUGUAAAGCUCUAUCAGCAGGGAAGAAGAUGACAGUACCUGAGUAAGAAGCCCCGGCUGACUACGUGCCAGCAGCCGCGGUAAUACGUAGGGGGCAAGCGUUAUCCGGAUUUACUGGGUGUAAAGGGAGCGUAGACGGUUGUAUAAGUCUGGAGUGAAAGCCCGGGGCCCAACCCCGGGACUGCCCUUGGAACUGUGCGGCUAGAGUGCGGGAGGGGCAGGCGGAAUUCCUGGUGUAGCGGUGAAAUGCGUAGAUAUCAGGAGGAACACCGGCGGCGAAGGCGGCCUGCUGGACCGCGACUGACGUUGAGGCUCGAAAGCGUGGGGAGCGAACAGGAUUAGAUACCCGCGUAC
Molecule: ribosomal RNA, 445 nt
Filed under: uncultured bacterium
Lineage: Bacteria
Description: bacterial SSU rRNA
Rfam family: Bacterial small subunit ribosomal RNA
Source: RNAcentral